AGUUACGGCGAUACCACCCUGAACACAUCCGAUCCUGUCCAAUCUCAGAAGCUAAGCAGGGUCAGGCCUGGUUAGUACCUGGAUGGGAGACUGCCUGGGAAUACCAGGUGCCAUAAGCC
RNAcentral lists this ribosomal RNA (119 nucleotides) under Mola mola (ocean sunfish). The record is from RNAcentral. Lineage: Eukaryota; Metazoa; Chordata; Actinopteri; Tetraodontiformes; Molidae.